GCAAGUUCUAAAAUGACUUCGCUUGGUGCCAACCUGAGUUCAAUCAUAAUAAAGGAAAGCGGCAACUACUUUGUCUAUGCUCAGCUAUACUUUCAAGUUCCAUUCAACUCAAAGCUGGACAAGUUCGACCAGAGCUACUUGGCAUUUUUCGUUUGUCGAAUAUCCAAAGCCACAACGAGUAUCUUGAUGCGAGCCGUGGCAUCAAACGGCUUCCAAGGGAAGAAGAAUGAAGCAAGGCAACAACAUCCUAGUCCAGAAUGAAUGCAAUCGACAGCGUAUUGCAAUAUUGAUAACAUAGUAAACACCGUCUGUGUAGAAAACUUCGACGACACUAAAGAUUGUUUCGACCAGGCAGAAAGCGAGCUAGAGCCAAGUCGGAAGCGUGUUCGGAUGGAAAGACACACCCCGUCUUCUGAAAGAAAAAGAUGAGGAACAGGAGACUGUUUUUCUCUGUGCGCGCUCGAAAGUGUCUAAAUAAAAUAGACAAAAUCCAUACCGUUUCAAUCUCCCGCCAAAAUUACAUCGCCGCGCGCCUCCACAAGCGCUCUCAUUAAAUCUAAAGAAAUAACGCCACAAGAAAAAAAGCGUCGCAUUAAAACAAAAGGUGGCCAAUUCAUGAAAUCCCGGAAUGUUGUUGCGUAUGCCUAUCAGGAAAACAUCAACGAAGUUAUCGGCAAUUUGGCAUCAAUUUGUUGUGGUUGGGGCAACGGAUGUGAUCUUCUCAAGACUGGAGGCCAAAGAAGCAUUCAACACGACUCUUUCGAAACAAAGCCAGUCAAUUCUCCUAAAAUCCAUUCGAAUGCCAGAUUGGGCCUAUCUUCUUUUGAGAAUCAGAACAAAAAUUUCAGAUGCUUUCAGAUGGAAGACCCUAUACUUAACCUUACCCAACUUGGAUCACCUAGGAAAACCACAGACUUCGCCAUUCUUCCAACAAAGAACCAAAUUUGUGCAAUGAAAGUGGUGCUGUUUGGCGCUACUUACGACACUGUUGGAACUAGUGAAUUACCUGAUGGGCUCCUAGAUGCACAAGUAAACCUAGUUUCUGUGUUGGUAUGGGGUAUUCGGGAAAUGCGAUUGCAUCAAGUAGAUGGCAGUGGCAACGACCGAACGCUACAUUUCAAUUUCAAACUGGAUGUAGACCUUUUUGGGGUAAAGAACUGAUAUCGUUCGGUGUGGUAUGCAUGCAGAUGAAGCUGGAGUCACAUCUCGCAAAAGACAAAUGUCCAUUUUUGCAUUUUGAUUCUGAAAUGAAUAUUCAAGAAGAGCUCCUUUCUUUUUUACAGCGCAAAUGGGCUUCGAGUGAAGAAGUAUUGAUUACACAAGUUAAUCUUAGAUGCCUUACAAACAAGUGUCUAUUGUGAAUGUGGAGCGAAAGGUGAAUGAGUCACGGCCUGCACUGGUGCACUUAACCGGGCAUCACAGCGACCGGGGAAAAUUGAAUGAUGUGCUGGAUAUUUAGAAAACGGCAAGUUCUAAAAUG
RNAcentral lists this long non-coding RNA (1480 nucleotides) under Dendronephthya gigantea. RNAcentral's name for it is "uncharacterized LOC114535246, transcript variant X2". The record is from RNAcentral. Lineage: Eukaryota; Metazoa; Cnidaria; Anthozoa; Malacalcyonacea; Nephtheidae.